GACGAACGCUGGCGGCGUGCCUAAUACAUGCAAGUCGACCUUAGUGGCGAACGGGUGAGUAACACGUGGGUAACCUGCCCAUCAGCAGGGGAUAACACUUGGAAACAGGUGCUAAUACUGAAUACUGAUGGAUGGACGCGCGGUGCAUUAGCUAGUUGGUGAGGUAACGGCUCACCAAGGCCACGAUUCAUAGGCGACUGGUGAGGGUGAGCGGCCACACGGGGACUGAGACACGGCCCAGGCUCCUACGGUAGGUAGCAGUAGGGAAACUUCGGCAAUGGAGGAAAGUCUGACCGAGCAACGCCGCGUUAGUGAAGAAGGUUUUCGGCUCGUAAAACUCUGUUGUCAGAGAAGCGGUAGCUAACCAGAAAGCCACGGCUAACUACGUGCCAGCAGCCGCGGUAAUCC
Molecule: ribosomal RNA, 408 nt
Filed under: uncultured bacterium
Lineage: Bacteria
Description: partial 16S ribosomal RNA
Rfam family: Bacterial small subunit ribosomal RNA
Source: RNAcentral